Podarcis lilfordi (Lilford's wall lizard) is the source of this 160-nucleotide non-coding RNA. NCBI's taxonomy places the organism in Eukaryota, Metazoa, Chordata, Lepidosauria, Squamata, Lacertidae. The record is from the annotation of a GenBank genome assembly.
GCAGAGCUGAGUGUGAUGGCAGCAUGGCUGCCAAGGUCAGUGGCAGCUCCUCCUCCUCCUGCUGCUGCUGCUGCUGCUGCUGUCGCCACUGGCUGAGGGUGCUUCCCCCCUUCCUGUCUGUAGCAGCAGCAGCAGCAGCAGCAGCAGGAGGAGGAGGAGC